RNAcentral lists this long non-coding RNA (537 nucleotides) under Homo sapiens (human). RNAcentral's name for it is "non-protein coding lnc-HIST2H2BF-4:3". The record is from RNAcentral. Lineage: Eukaryota; Metazoa; Chordata; Mammalia; Primates; Hominidae.
AUCUUGAGGAAGAUGCAUAAUAUGAGUAAAGUGACAGAAGUCCUAGAGACCAAGUGGGAUGCCCAGUCCCAGACUCAGCCCCAGAUCUGGUGCAGCAACCACACCCGGUCUACCCCACAUCACUCCCUGAGCAGCACGUCUCCACAGCUUGACAAGGAGGAAGUGCAUCCUUCAGUGACUGCAGUCAUAGGGGCUGACCUGCUGGAAAAGAAUCUUGCUGAGAUACAGAACCUGCGCCAGCGCCUGGAGGAGUCCAUCAGUCUCAAUGACCGCCUGAGGGAGAGGCUGGAGCAUGUGCUUAGCAAUGGUGACCAAGGAAAAGGUACUGCACAGUCCACUGUAGCCCCUCAUUCAUAUACUCAGAGUCACUCUUCUGGCUGUGGCGAGGACAUCCUGUGACAUGAUGCCUAGAGAGUCUGGAAGAAUGUUCUCCAGAACUUUUCUAGCCCUAUCCAACAGAAUUCUUGGGUGGGAACUUGGAGGCAUUGGAUAUUAUCUUUAAAUGAAGAGAUCAAAUUAAUAAAUUAUUUUUAAAAU